CGAGUUGGCCGGGCGGCCGCGGCACAGGGAACCGUUCACGGAUGUGGGCAGGCCAGGUGCCGAGGAAAGUCCGGACUCCACAGAGCAGGGCGGUUGCCAACGGCAACCCGAGGUGACUCGCGGGAACAGUGCCACAGAGAACAGACCGCCGGCCGUCAGGCCGGUAAGGGUGAAACGGUGCGGUAAGAGCGCACCAGCACCCCGGGUGACCGGGGUGGCUCGGUAAACCCCGCCCGGAGCAAGGUCAAAGGCCGCACCUUCUCGAAGGUGCGGCUGCGCAGGUGUCCGAGGGCUGCUCGCCCGAGCCUGCGGGUGGACCGCUCGAGGUACCCGGCGACGGUGUGCCCAGAUGGAUGGUCGCCGCCCGGCGUUUCGGCGCCGGGAACAGGAUCCGGCUUACAGGCCAACUCGUCCG
RNAcentral lists this RNase P RNA (415 nucleotides) under Speluncibacter jeojiensis. Its description in RNAcentral is "Bacterial RNase P class A". It matches the Rfam family "Bacterial RNase P class A". From Rfam's summary of the family: Ribonuclease P (RNase P) is a ubiquitous endoribonuclease, found in archaea, bacteria and eukarya as well as chloroplasts and mitochondria. Its best characterised activity is the generation of mature 5'-ends of tRNAs by cleaving the 5'-leader elements of precursor-tRNAs. The record is from Rfam by way of RNAcentral. Lineage: Bacteria; Bacillati; Actinomycetota; Actinomycetes; Mycobacteriales; Speluncibacteraceae.